AAGUGAUUUUUAAAAUGGUUUUGGAAAUUGGCUUGGAAAGAAAGAAAUUUAAAGAAAAAAAACAAAAGAAGAAGCAAAUCCUUUUCCUCUCUCCGGUUUCAGCAGCAAUGCGCCCAGUCACCCUCUCCCCUUUCCCUCGGCCCGCACGCGUAACCGGCCCAUUCUUCCCCCCAGCCCAGCCAGCGCCACUCCCCUCUCUCCUUCUCUUGCUGACACAGAGGGCCCGC
This 227-nucleotide long non-coding RNA is filed under the name Sorghum bicolor (sorghum). Its description in RNAcentral is "long non-coding RNA (SBIC_LNC012554)". The record is from RNAcentral. Lineage: Eukaryota; Viridiplantae; Streptophyta; Magnoliopsida; Poales; Poaceae.